Saccostrea cuccullata (small rock oyster) is the source of this 415-nucleotide long non-coding RNA. RefSeq lists it as uncharacterized. The record is from RefSeq and is a predicted model, not a curated record. Lineage: Eukaryota; Metazoa; Mollusca; Bivalvia; Ostreida; Ostreidae. The transcript is spliced from 3 exons.
AUUCCAGACUGGAAAGACUUAGAUUUCUAAAUAUCUUACAAACAGUUAACUUAAUUUAAAUGUGACCUGGUUACCAGCUACUAAUAUUUUAAACAAUGAUACAGUUCCUGGAGUAAUGUAAAUCAAAGGUACCAGGCACUCUGUUCCAUAAACAGGGUAUUAUAAACAGUAUAUUAUCUCUUGAUAAUACCAACAAUAAAAUCAUCAAACGAACCCGCAGGUGUCAUGUGCUUAUUAAAGAAUCCGUCAGGAUACACAAUUGACCCCUGUUACAAAAUGGCGCCCAUGUAGGGACUGGUGAUACUUGGACUGGUUCGACUGUGAUAAUUCUGGGACAUCGAGGGAGAACGGACAAUUAUUGAACUGAAAACUUCUUCGAUAUUAUAGAUUGCCAUAUAUGCAAGUAUUUAGUUAU